AGAUAUAUAACACAUUAAUCUCUUUACCAUAAAAAUUUGGAAGGCAAAACGUCAGGGGAAACUACUGAGAAGGGUGACUCUAAGGUCUGUUGAUUCCAAACUUUCGGUAGAAAGUUGCAGUUGGAGUUUUGUAUUUUGAAAGGGUAGCAAAAGAUGUCCAAAAGACUUGAAAUUUUACAUGGACGUUCAUAACACUCUGAUAUACUCACCAUAAAAGUUUCAAGAUUUUUGGGUAUCAAGAACCCUGUCGAAAUUUAUCAAGUCAGUAGCUUUUUAAAAGUUUUUAAAAUAACUCAUCAACUUGCCAACUUUAAGCAUAUAGCCAACUAUACUCUAUCUUUCAUCAAACUAACUCACUUCAAUCUUCAUCAAACACCUUUAAUCAUCAUUCUAAUCCAUCAAACAUCAUCUCAACAAUCUCAAUAGCUCAUAUUCAUAACCAAAUCAACAAUCCAUCCAUGAACUUCAAACUUCUCAAAAUCAUGUAAACUAACUCAUCUAAAAAUUCACAUAU
This 514-nucleotide long non-coding RNA is filed under the name Salvia miltiorrhiza (redroot sage). RNAcentral's name for it is "long non-coding RNA (SMIL_LNC009439)". The record is from RNAcentral. Lineage: Eukaryota; Viridiplantae; Streptophyta; Magnoliopsida; Lamiales; Lamiaceae.